AUCAAUGAAGAACAUCCAACCUUUAAGCAGACUGUUAACCAGGAGGAAGAGGAGCUGAGAGAAGAGGAAGAACAGAUGAAAGGAGGGAGAGAUUGAGGGAGGAGCUGAGCUGUUAGUGAACUAUAGAAGAGACACAAACUUCCACUUUCAUCACAGUUCAAGACACAAAAGCCAAACAUCAGCUUCAUCCAACAUGCUGUCUGUGCAGACAUCUGUGUUCACUCUGCUGCUUCUAGUCAUUGGAACAGAUGUCAGCUGUGAAGAACUCACUGCAGUCAAGAAGGAAGAGUCCACUUUGGAAGGAACUUCUGUCACUCUGUCCUACAAAUACUCUGCAUCAGGAGUUGCAGCAGAUUAUUUCUUCUGGUAUCGACAGUUUCCAGGAAAACCUCCAGAGUUCCUGAUCUCUCAUUUAAGAACAGGAGCAUCAAUGUCAAAUCCAGUUCCUGGAGUUUCUGUUAAUGUAAUAAAAGAGAAACAAAUGGAUCUGCAGAUCUCCUCUGCUGCAGUGACAGACUCUGCUGUGUACUACUGUGCUCUGAGGCCCACAGUGACAGGAAACAACAAAACGCCGUUCAAAAACCUCCAGUGACAACAGAAACUCCCACAAUAUCCACUAGAGGGCACUCUGAUUCUUGUAAAAAUGUUUUACUACCA
Oryzias latipes (Japanese medaka) is the source of this 657-nucleotide non-coding RNA. The record is from the annotation of a RefSeq genome assembly. NCBI's taxonomy places the organism in Eukaryota, Metazoa, Chordata, Actinopteri, Beloniformes, Adrianichthyidae.